UCAGAUUGCAGGCUGCAACUCGCCUGCAUGAAGUUGGAAUUGCUAGUAAUCGCGAAUCAGAAUGUCGCGGUGAAUACGUUCCCGGGCCUUGUACACACCGCCCGUCACACCAUGAGAGUCGAUAACACCCGAAGCCUGUGAGCUAACCGUAAGGAGGCAGCAGUCGAAGGUGGGGUUGAUGAUUGGGGUGAAGUCGUAACAAGGUAGC
This 208-nucleotide ribosomal RNA is filed under the name uncultured bacterium. RNAcentral describes it as "partial 16S ribosomal RNA". It matches the Rfam family "Bacterial small subunit ribosomal RNA", at positions 1293 to 1500 of the family's 1533-position model. The record is from RNAcentral.